This 222-nucleotide long non-coding RNA is filed under the name Panax ginseng (ginseng). Its description in RNAcentral is "long non-coding RNA (PGIN_LNC001231)". Lineage: Eukaryota; Viridiplantae; Streptophyta; Magnoliopsida; Apiales; Araliaceae. The record is from RNAcentral.
AAAUAUUUUCUUCACCCAAAACGAACGUAUAAUGUGCCAAAGACGUUGGCUCGAGCUGUUAAAGAUUAUGAUCGUACCAUUCAAUAUCAUCGUGGAAGAGCGAACGUGGUAGCUGACUCGUUGAGUAAAAGAUCAUAUGCGUUUAUGAGUGUGAUGUUGUUAGCACAAAAACCCAUUUCAUAUAACUUACAUAUGAUGAAGAUAGAGUUAAAGACUCUAGGG